UACAGAGGGUGCGAGCGUUGUUCGGAAUUACUGGGCGUAAAGCGCGCGCAGGCGGCCCUUUAAGUCUACCCGUGAAAUGCCGGAGCUCAACUCCGCGCACGCCGGGGGAUACUGGGGGGCUGGAGACAUGUAGAGGCAAGCGGAAUUCCGGGUGUAGCGGUGGAAUGCGUAGAGAUCCGGAAGGAACGCCCGUGGCGAAAGCGAGGUCCUGGACGUCUACUGACGCUGAGACGCGAAAGCUAGGGGAGCGAACGGG
Molecule: ribosomal RNA, 256 nt
Filed under: uncultured bacterium
Lineage: Bacteria
Description: partial 16S ribosomal RNA
Rfam family: Bacterial small subunit ribosomal RNA
Source: RNAcentral